RNAcentral lists this transfer RNA (57 nucleotides) under Cordylochernes scorpioides. Its description in RNAcentral is "tRNA-Thr". The record is from RNAcentral. Lineage: Eukaryota; Metazoa; Arthropoda; Arachnida; Pseudoscorpiones; Chernetidae.
AUGGGAAUCGAACCCACAAUGUCCCGCUUACCGGGCAGAUGCCAUAUCCACUAGGCU